GGGGGCAGAGUUCAGGGGCAGAGCAUGUAUUUAGCAUGCACAAGGUCCUGGGUUCAACCCCCAGCACUUCCA
RNAcentral lists this transfer RNA (72 nucleotides) under Camelus bactrianus (Bactrian camel). It matches the Rfam family "tRNA". From Rfam's summary of the family: Transfer RNA (tRNA) molecules are approximately 80 nucleotides in length. The record is from Rfam by way of RNAcentral. Lineage: Eukaryota; Metazoa; Chordata; Mammalia; Artiodactyla; Camelidae. RNAcentral also lists the same sequence under 2 other names.